GUGAUAGUACCCUUUGGGACUAUACUUAGAUGUGUUAUUUUUUACAAUGAAAAUCGGCUCUGAGCAUUUGCCCGAGACUGAGAA
Clostridiales bacterium 38-18 is the source of this 84-nucleotide non-coding RNA. Lineage: Bacteria; Bacillati; Bacillota; Clostridia; Eubacteriales. The record is from Rfam.